CUGCUUUUGUCAGGGAAGAAAUCUUCUGGGCUAAUACCCCGGGAGGAUGACGGUACCUGAAGAAUAAGCACCGGCUAACUACGUGCCAGCAGCCGCGGUAAUACGUAGGGUGCGAGCGUUAAUCGGAAUUACUGGGCGUAAAGCGUGCGCAGGCGGCUUUGCAAGACAGAUGUGAAAAUCCCCGGGGCUCAACCUGGGAAACUGCAUUUGUGACUGCAAGGCUAGAGUACGGCAGAGGGGGAUGGAAUUCCGCGUGUAGCAGUGAAAUGCGUAGAUAUGCGGAGGAACACCAAUGGCGAAGGCAAUCCCCUGGGCCUGUACUGACGCUCAUGCACGAAAGCGUGGGGAGCAAACAGGAUUAGAUACCCUGGUAGUCCACGCCCUAAACGAUGUCAACUGGUUGUUGGACGGCUUGCUGUUCAGUAACGAAGCUAACGCGUGAAGUUGACCGCCUGGGGAGUACGGCCGCAAAGGUUGAAACUCAAAGGAAUUGACGGGGGACCCGCACAAGCGGUGGAUGAUGUGGUUUUAAUUUCGAUGCAACGCGAAAAACCUUACCUACCCUUUGACAUGUCAAGAAUUUUGCAGAGAUGUGAAAGUGCUCGAAAGAGAACUUGAACACAGGUGCUGCAUGGCCGUCGUCAGCUCGUGUCGUGAGAUGUUGGGUUAAGUCCCGCAACGAGCGCAACCCUUGUCAUUAGUUGCUACCGCAAGGAGCACUCUAAUGAGACUGCCGGUGACAAACCGGAGGAAGGUGGGGAUGACGUCAGGUCCUCAUGGCCCUUAUGGGUAGGGCUACACACGUCAUACAAUGGCCGGUACAGAGGGCUGCCAACCCGCGAGGGGGAGCCAAUCCCAGAAAACCGGUCGUAGUCCGGAUCGUAGUCUGCAACUCGACUGCGUGAAGUCGGAAUCGCUAGUAAUCGCGGAUCAGCUUGCCGCGGUGAAUACGUUCCCGGGUCUUGUACACACCGCCCGUCACACCCAUGGGAGCGGGUUCUGCCAGAAGUAGUUAGCCUAACCGCAAGGAGGGCGAUA
This 1038-nucleotide ribosomal RNA is filed under the name uncultured bacterium. Its description in RNAcentral is "bacterial SSU rRNA". It matches the Rfam family "Bacterial small subunit ribosomal RNA", at positions 430 to 1455 of the family's 1533-position model. The record is from RNAcentral.